This 783-nucleotide unclassified non-coding RNA is filed under the name uncultured Prochlorococcus sp. RNAcentral's name for it is "partial 16S-23S ribosomal RNA intergenic spacer; may also contain 16S ribosomal RNA and 23S ribosomal RNA". The stretch from base 351 to 423 matches the Rfam family "tRNA". Lineage: Bacteria; Bacillati; Cyanobacteriota; Cyanophyceae; Synechococcales; Prochlorococcaceae. The record is from RNAcentral.
UUGUGGAGGAGGACGCCGAAGGUGGGGCUGAUGACCGGGGUGAAGUCGUAACAAGGUAGCCGUACCGGAAGGUGCGGCUGGAUCACCUCCUAACAGGGAGACAAAAACUGAUUAUUGAUGUCUGAUAUUUAAUUUCAGGCCGUAAUCCUGUCACCUUAGGUCGAUCGGUACCUCUGGUUAAAGUAUUAGAAAAUGAGAAAUCAAUUUUUUUUAGCUUUAAUUUUAGUUCCUAAACUUGUCUAGGUCACACCCAACAAACUUUCUCCUGGGCUAUUAGCUCAGGCGGUUAGAGCGCACCCCUGAUAAGGGUGAGGUCCCUGGUUCAAGUCCAGGAUGGCCCAUUCGUUGUUGGGGGUAUAGCUCAGUUGGUAGAGCGCCUGCUUUGCAAGCAGGAUGUCAGCGGUUCGAGUCCGCUUACCUCCACUGAUCAACUACCUGAUAACUCAAUUGGAGAUUGUCAUUUGUUUAAAGUGACUUAGAUAUUGUUCAACUGAAUGAACCUAGCUUCCUAUCAUUCCUUGAUGAUUUCGGGCUGAUAAGACGCUGGGCUCUCUGACAGGAAUUGUCAGUUUGAUUCAGCAGAACCUUGACAACUGCAUAGGUUAAAGUCUGGAAAAAAGCAUCUCAUAGAUUCUUAGAAGCUUUUAAUUUAGAAAUUCUGAAUUAAAGUUUCUAUUGCAAUUCUUGGGUUAGAGCAAAAUUCUAUGAUUGAAUUUACUUAAUCGAUUUAAGUGAAUUUUAUUUUUAGUUAGAAACAUAGUUUAUUUAAUGGUCAAGCUACAA